GUGCUCGCUUUGGCAGCAUAUAAAUUAAAAUUGGAAUGAUACACAGAAAAUUAAUAUGACCCCUGUGAAAGAAUGACAUGCAAAUCUUGAGGCAUUGUAUAUUUUA
Echinops telfairi (small Madagascar hedgehog) is the source of this 106-nucleotide small nuclear RNA. NCBI's taxonomy places the organism in Eukaryota, Metazoa, Chordata, Mammalia, Afrosoricida, Tenrecidae. The record is from Ensembl.